RNAcentral lists this ribosomal RNA (392 nucleotides) under uncultured bacterium. Its description in RNAcentral is "partial 16S ribosomal RNA". It matches the Rfam family "Bacterial small subunit ribosomal RNA", at positions 523 to 918 of the family's 1533-position model. The record is from RNAcentral.
AUACGGAGGAUCCGAGCGUUAUCCGGAUUUAUUGGGUUUAAAGGGUGCGCAGGCGGCCAUUUAAGUCAGCGGUUAAAUCGUGGGGCUCAACCCCAUUCUGCCGUUGAUACUGGGUGGCUUGAUUGCGGUCGAGGUUGGCGGAAUUCGUUGUGUAGCGGUGAAAUGCAUAGACAUGACGAAGAACACCGAUUGCGUAGGCAGCUGACCAGACCGCAAAUGACGCUCAUGCACGAAAGUGCGGGGAUCGAACAGGAUUAGAUACCCUGGUAGUCCGCACAGUAAACGAUGAAUACUUGUUUUCGGCGAUAUAAUGUCGGAGGCAAAGCGAAAGCGAUAAGUAUUCCACCUGGGGAGUACGCCGGCAACGGUGAAACUCAAAUGAAUUGACGGGG